This 600-nucleotide ribosomal RNA is filed under the name Triticum aestivum (bread wheat). RNAcentral describes it as "partial small subunit ribosomal RNA". Lineage: Eukaryota; Viridiplantae; Streptophyta; Magnoliopsida; Poales; Poaceae. The record is from RNAcentral.
AUGAGGGUCCGGCACGACGGGCACUCCUUCAUCCCCUGCUUGUCGUGGAGGUCGUUGCACUUGGCGCAGACCACCUGGUGGGCGCAGGGGAGGAACACCACCGACAUCUCCUCGCUCAGGCACAUGACGCACUCGCGGUCGCGCUGGAUGUCGUCGAAGUCGAGGUCCAGGGCCACCGCCCCCGCCAUCUUGGCCAGGACCUGCGCGUUGCCGCCGUUCUUUCUCCCCUCGGAGAGACGCAGGGGGCGGGUCUUGUCGUCCGUUCCCCACUUGGGAGCAGCCGCCUCUGAAGCGUCCAGGGAUACCUUCAGCUGCGAGAUCUGCUGCUCCAGGGCACGGAUCUCGCUCUUGUAUCUCUGCAUGUCGUUCUCAGCUUUGAGGUGCAGGAAAUUCUCUUCCGACCUCAGAGAUGUCUCAAUCUGACCCCGCUCUUUCCUCUCUGAGCUCACACAGGCAAUUGCCUCGGUCUUCCUAGCCUCUUCCUGUCUCCACCUUACCUGCAAGCAUUCAACAAUGGUUCAGGUCAAGAUGGAAUACACUGGAUCCACGGGUUGUACUGCAUUGUACAAAGUAACCUUCAACAACUUCGGCAAAACAUGA